This 367-nucleotide ribosomal RNA is filed under the name uncultured Eubacteriales bacterium. RNAcentral describes it as "bacterial SSU rRNA". It matches the Rfam family "Bacterial small subunit ribosomal RNA", at positions 529 to 896 of the family's 1533-position model. The record is from RNAcentral. Lineage: Bacteria; Bacillati; Bacillota; Clostridia; Eubacteriales.
AGGUGGCGAGCGUUGUCCGGAAUUACUGGGUGUAAAGGGAGUGUAGGCGGGAAGGCAAGUCAGAAGUGAAAAUUAUGGGCUCAACCCAUAACCUGCUUUUGAAACUGUUUUUCUUGAGUGAAGCAGAGGCAAGCGGAAUUCCUAGUGUAGCGGUGAAAUGCGUAGAUAUUAGGAGGAACACCAGUGGCGAAGGCGGCUUGCUGGGCUUUUACUGACGCUGAGGCUCGAAAGCGUGGGGAGCAAACAGGAUUAGAUACCCUGGUAGUCCACGCCGUAAACGAUGAUUACUAGGUGUGGGGGGAUGAACCCUUCCGUGCCGGAGUUAACACAAUAAGUAAUCCACCUGGGGAGUACGACCGCAAGGUUG